This 463-nucleotide ribosomal RNA is filed under the name uncultured bacterium. Its description in RNAcentral is "partial 16S ribosomal RNA". It matches the Rfam family "Bacterial small subunit ribosomal RNA", at positions 28 to 507 of the family's 1533-position model. The record is from RNAcentral.
GAUGAACGCUGACAGAAUGCUUAACACAUGCAAGUCUUUGGCGAAGCUGUGCUUGCACAGCCUAGCCAAGGCGGACGGGUGAGUAACGCGUAAGGAACUUGCCCUGCAGUCAUGGAUAACAGACUGAAACGACUGAUAAGACCUGGUAAAGUCAGGCGGACUCAUGUCCAGCCUGAUGAAAAGAGAUGCUGCAGGAGAGCCUUGCGUCCUAUUAGCGUGUUGGUGGUGUAACGGCCCAACAAGGCGAUGAUAGGUAGCCGGCCUGAGAGGGUGGACGGACACUAGGGGACUGAGAUACGGCACUUACUCCUGCGGGAGGGAGCAGUGGGGAAUAGUGGAAAAUGGGGACAACCGUGAUCGAGAAAUUCUGUGUGCAAGAUGAAGGUUUUCGGAGUGUAAAGUGCUUUCAGCAGGGAAGAAAAAAAUGACGGUACCUGCAGAAGAAGCGACGGCUAAAUACGUG